CCUACGGGGGGCUGCAGUAGGGAAUUUUCGGCAAUGGGGGAAACCCUGACCGAGCAACGCCGCGUGAGUGACGAAGGUCUUUUGAUCGUAAAGCUCUGUUGUUAGGGAUGAACUAUACUUUUAGGAAAUGAGGAGUAUUUGACAGUACCUAACCAGAAAGCCACGGCUAACUACGUGCCAGCAGCCGCGGUAAUACGUAGGUGGCAAGCGUUAUCCGGAAUUAUUGGGCGUAAAGAGUGAGCAGGCGGCAGUUUAAGUCUGGAGUGAAAGCGUGAGGCUCAACUUCAUACAGCUCCAGAAACUGAACAGCUAGAGUACGAGAGAAGUAAGUGGAAUUCCAUGUGUAGCGGUGAAAUGCGUAGAUAUAUGGAGGAACACCAGUGGCGAAGGCGACUUACUAGCUCGAGACUGACGCUCAGUCACGAAAGCGUGGGUAGCAAACAGGAUUAGAUACCCCUGUAGUC
RNAcentral lists this ribosomal RNA (464 nucleotides) under uncultured Erysipelotrichaceae bacterium. Its description in RNAcentral is "bacterial SSU rRNA". It matches the Rfam family "Bacterial small subunit ribosomal RNA", at positions 338 to 795 of the family's 1533-position model. Lineage: Bacteria; Bacillati; Bacillota; Erysipelotrichia; Erysipelotrichales; Erysipelotrichaceae. The record is from RNAcentral.